This is an RNA transcript of Glycine soja, 1130 nucleotides long. RefSeq lists it as uncharacterized. The record is from RefSeq and is a predicted model, not a curated record. Lineage: Eukaryota; Viridiplantae; Streptophyta; Magnoliopsida; Fabales; Fabaceae. The transcript is spliced from 3 exons.
AAAAAGGUAAUUUCUCAAGCUUAUCUUCACGACAUCUCCAAGUCCUUUUGGUUGUUAGAGCAAACAAGGUAAUUUGACAAAUACAACAUACUAUGCAAGUAUGCACCAUACCACACAUCCCAUGAAAAGUGUGGCCAAAUCAUGAACAAUGAUGCCAUCACCUAUGCUGCUGCCUGUACCAUUACCAUCUUCUUUGAUGAAUAACAUUUCCACUCACAAUUCAAUCUUGUGUUGUGACUUUAAAGAUGUGAAUUUGAGCAACCAAAGAGGUACAAGCCUUUUGUGUUCAGCAAGGAGGCAAAUUAGAUACCAAGAUGGGGAUGAUGCAGAUAGUGAUGAAGAGUAUGGGCACAAUGAGCAGAUUUCUAAGUUGGAGUCUUAUAGUCAAUCAGCAAAAGGAGAAGUACUCGUUGUGCAUGCACUUGUGGACCAGGAGAAGUUGAUGUGCUUAUCUUCAAGGCACUUAUUGAUGAAGCUCUCCCUCCGUGACUCUGAUCACUGUCAUGUGCUGUCAUUUAGAUCGUGUCCGUGCCGCUCCAGCUUCGUACCCUGACCGUAUAUACCUCACUAACGUCGUGCCCUGACUAAGAUCGUACCCUGAUUGUGUCACCCCACCGUUGAAGGUUAAUUAGGCAAGUUUGUGAAGUGCUGAUUUUCAUCUGCUCGCUAAGCCAAUCUGCUUGCUUAGCGAGCCAUCCACUCAGUGCACCAUUCCCUUGGCUGAGCAUGAGGAAGAAUCUGGAAGAAGGAUGAGCUGUGCAUGUUCGCUGAGCGAGGUCCCAUCCCGCUAAGCGCACCACUUGAGUCCAUCCACUGAGCGAGAAGACGCGCGCUAAGCCGAAAUUCACUAAUGCGCGCUAAGCGAUCUAGAGUUGCGCUAAGCGUGCAAGCACCAUCAAGGCCACCUAUUUAAGCUUGAAAUCAGAAAUAGGAGGGGGGUUUGGCCAUUUUCUUGAAGAGCUUCUGCAUGUGAGAGAUUCUAGAGAGAGAAGGGUCAGAGUCCAAAGAGUUUUGAGAGAUUUUGCUAUGCAAAGACCUGUAGAGAAUCGAGCUUGAAGAGGAAGUCGUCCUGAGAGCUUGAGAUGAGUUUGUGAGUGAUUGUGAGGUUCUAGAGGUGGAGGAGACAUCCU